RNAcentral lists this ribosomal RNA (467 nucleotides) under uncultured bacterium. RNAcentral describes it as "partial 16S ribosomal RNA". It matches the Rfam family "Bacterial small subunit ribosomal RNA", at positions 28 to 507 of the family's 1533-position model. The record is from RNAcentral.
GACGAACGCUGGCGGCGUGCUUAACACAUGCAAGUCGAACGGAAAGGCCCUGCUUUUGUGGGUGCUCGAGUGGCGAACGGGGGAGUAACACGUGAGUAACCUGCCCUUGACUUUGGGAUAACUUCAUGAAACUGGGGCUAAUACCGGGUAGGAGCUCCUGCUGCAUGGUGGGGGUUGGAAAGUUUCGGCGGUUGGGGAUGGACUCGCGGCUUAUCAGCUUGUUGGUGGGGUAGUGGCUUACCAAGGCUUUGACGGGUAGCCGGCCUGAGAGGGUGACCGGCCACAUUGGGACUGAGAUACGGCCCAGACUCCUACGGGAGGCAGCAGUGGGGAAUAUUGCACAAUGGGCGGAAGCCUGAUGCAGCAACGCCGCGUGCGGGAUGACGGCCUUCGGGUUGUAAACCGCUUUCGCCUGUGACGAAGCGUGAGUGACGGUAAUGGGUAAAGAAGCACCGGCUAACUACGUG